AUUGAACGCUGGCGGCAGGCCUAACACAUGCAAGUCGAGCGAGCGGCGGACGGGUGAGUAAUGUAUGGGGACUGCCCGAUAGAGGGGGAUAACUACUGGAAACGGUAGCUAAUACCGCAUACCAUCGGAUUACCCAGAUGGGAUUAGCUAGUAGGUGAGGUAAUGGCUCACCUAGGCGACGAUCCCUAGCUGGUCUGAGAGGAUGAUCAGCCACAAUGGAACGGAGACACGGCCCAGACUCCUACGGAGGCAGCAGUGGGGAAUAUUGCACAAUGGGCGCAAGCCUGAUGCAGCCAUGCAGCGUGUAUGAAGAAGGCCCUAGGGUUGUAAAGUACUUUCAGUCGGGAGGCGUUACCGACAGAAGAAGCACCGGCUAACUCCGUGCCAGCCGCCGCGGUAAUUC
This 403-nucleotide ribosomal RNA is filed under the name uncultured bacterium. RNAcentral's name for it is "partial 16S ribosomal RNA". It matches the Rfam family "Bacterial small subunit ribosomal RNA", at positions 30 to 526 of the family's 1533-position model. The record is from RNAcentral.